CCUGGCUCAGGAUGAACGCUAGCUACAGGCUUAACACAUGCAAGUCGAGGGGCAGCACAGUGUAGCAAUACACGGGUGGCGACCGGCGCACGGGUGCGUAACGCGUAUCCAACCUUCCCGUUACUCAGGGAUAGCCUUCCGAAAAGGGAGAUUAAUACCUGAUGGUGUUGAAAUUCCGCAUGUUAUUUCAACUAAAGAUUUAUCGGUAACGGAUGGGGAUGCGUGACAUUAGGUAGAUGGCGGGGUAACGGCCCACCAUGCCUACGAUGUCUAGGGGUUCUGAGAGGAAGGUCCCCCACACUGGAACUGAGACACGGUCCAGACUCCUACGGGAGGCAGCAGUGAGGAAUAUUGGUCAAUGGUCGGAAGACUGAACCAGCCAAGUAGCGUGAAGGAUGAAGGUUCUAUGGAUUGUAAACUUCUUUUAUAUAGGAAUAAAACCUCCCACGUGUGGGAGCUUGUAUGUACUAUAUGAAUAAGCAUCGGCUAACUCCGUG
RNAcentral lists this ribosomal RNA (497 nucleotides) under uncultured bacterium. RNAcentral's name for it is "bacterial SSU rRNA". It matches the Rfam family "Bacterial small subunit ribosomal RNA", at positions 18 to 507 of the family's 1533-position model. The record is from RNAcentral.